This 434-nucleotide ribosomal RNA is filed under the name Enterobacter sp. isolate #3. Its description in RNAcentral is "bacterial SSU rRNA". It matches the Rfam family "Bacterial small subunit ribosomal RNA", at positions 958 to 1392 of the family's 1533-position model. The record is from RNAcentral. Lineage: Bacteria; Pseudomonadati; Pseudomonadota; Gammaproteobacteria; Enterobacterales; Enterobacteriaceae.
AACGCGAAGACCCUUACCUACUCUUGACAUCCAGAGAACUUUCCAGAGAUGGAUUGGUGCCUUCGGGAACUCUGAGACAGGUGCUGCAUGGCUGUCGUCAGCUCGUGUUGUGAAAUGUUGGGUUAAGUCCCGCAACGAGCGCAACCCUUAUCCUUUGUUGCCAGCGGUCCGGCCGGGAACUCAAAGGAGACUGCCAGUGAUAAACUGGAGGAAGGUGGGGAUGACGUCAAGUCAUCAUGGCCCUUAUGAGUAGGGCUACACACGUGCUACAAUGGCGCAUACAAAGAGAAGCGAACUCGCGAGAGCAAGCGGACCUCAUAAAGUGCGUCGUAGUCCGGAUUGGAGUCUGCAACUCGACUCCAUGAAGUCGGAAUCGCUAGUAAUCGUAGAUCAGAAUGCUACGGUGAAUACGUUCCCGGGCCUUGUACACACCG